GUGCUCACUUUGGCAGCUCAUAUACAAAUUGGAACAAUACAGAGAAGAUUAGCAUGGUCCCCGUGCAAGGAUGACACAGAAAUUCAUGAAAUGUUCCAUAUUUUU
This is a small nuclear RNA of Choloepus hoffmanni (Hoffmann's two-fingered sloth), 105 nucleotides long. NCBI's taxonomy places the organism in Eukaryota, Metazoa, Chordata, Mammalia, Pilosa, Megalonychidae. The record is from Ensembl.